Long non-coding RNA from Acanthopagrus latus (yellowfin seabream), 1946 nucleotides. RefSeq lists it as uncharacterized. The record is from RefSeq and is a predicted model, not a curated record. NCBI's taxonomy places the organism in Eukaryota, Metazoa, Chordata, Actinopteri, Spariformes, Sparidae. The transcript has 7 exons.
GGGUGAGAUCGUUGUGUAUGUGAUGUUCCUGCAGAAGGCAAUCACAGCCAGUCCACCAGCCUUCUUCUGCAUGGACGUAAUAUGCAAGUACUGGCCUUACAUCCAGAGAAUUGCUGAAGCCUGCCCAGAGUACAGUCACCUCACCACCGUGAAGGCUCUGUUGUCUGUGCUCCAUGCCAAAGCACAUGGCAUCGAGUGUGAGAUAACCUGGGAGAGGAGGUGGAAAUGGUUCAUUCCUCCCUGUCCAGGACCGCCAUACUCACAAAGUUCAUGGGCAAAGGAGCACGCACAGACAUGCUAACUGUCCAGAUUAUGGACUGGAAUAAGAGAAAGAUGGAGAACAUGUGGAAAACCUUGUGCACAAGAUUUCGUAAGACACAGCAGAAUCCUGAGAGGGAGAGGCAGAGCCUAGAGACCCUCAAGGGAGAGAUGUCUGCAAAUGAUGGGACUGUGGAACAGUGGGUCAGAGAUGUCCGGGACUGGGCUGAACAUGAUGGUGUGGAGUUCCUUGCCAAAAAAAUAUUUUUGAUAAGGCAAUGCACAUAAGAAGACCUGAGGAGGAGGUGAUGAUCCUUGCUGCAGAAGUAACAACAGUGGGAGUUCCUCAAGAGAAGGGAGCAGACAUUGAGAGGUCUAUCCGUCAGCACUGAGGGUAGCCACUGCAGCGUCUCUGAAGAAGGACUUCGAGGUCUUCAGGCAGAGUUCAACAGAAGAAGGUCUCAGCUGCAGUCUCACCUUUUCACUGUGAGAAAUAAAUACUUGCACGUGGUAAGAGCAGGACUUGAUGGGUCUGCACUGGACCCUGAAGAGGGAGAAGAGCAGUUUGAGGAGCAAGAUCUAGCAAAUGAUGUGGAGAGCUACUCAGAUGAGGAGGACAUGGACAUGCAGGGACUGGACAGUGCUGUUGGGGAAUAGAAUCCAGAGGACAACACACUCCUAAUGACAUGCCCAUUGAAACUGAGUCUGGCACUUAUUAUUACUAUUAUUAUUACUAUUAUUGUUAUUAUUAUUACUAUUAUUAGUGGGCAGGUCUAAGUACAGACAGCUGUGAAUACACCUAAUGUGUCUUUAAUGCAUCUUGAGAUCAAAUCACUCCAAAAAAUCACAUUCCAGUAUUUACAGCAAAUAUUUGAUAUUCUGCGUAAUGCUGUAGCGCCACUGCCUGUGAUCUUGUCGAAUGUUUAUUGUUUAUUUGUUUUGGUUUGCUGGUUCAAUCCCAGCACCCUGUAUAUCCCAGUCAGGGAUGGACCAUAACUCUGUAUAUUCACUUGAAUACUUACUGUAGACCCUGAGUGUACUUUUGACCCCAUGACUUGUCUAUGAAGGUUCAUGGUACUUUGAGCCUGUUUUGAAAUCAGUGGAUGAAUUUUCUUUUCUUUUCUAAGAAUAGGCAAUAAACUGUUUGUCACAAGAGAAUUACCAAUCAUGUCAACUAUGCCUACACUAGCAGUCAAGUUUAAAGUGCUUGCAUUUAUUUCUUUAGUUAUUUAUUUAUUUGAAAAGUUUGAUUCAAACUUGGAUGAAGAUUCCUCACCAAAGCAUGUCUGUGUGGCUUUAUCUCUUCACAGCUGAGGUUUCUGAAAUGAAGAAAGAUUCACAUUGUUUGAAAUGUUUGCUCUGUUUACAGCACACAAACUUUGUAGCAUGUGCUACAAAGUCCUCAGUUUUAUUCUAUAGGUUCUACAGGGAAGUCAGUGCAUUCACUGGAUUGUCUGAGUCAUUAGUUUGUGCAAAUGCAUUGUGGCAACAACACAUUAAAGAAUGCUUGAAGACUUAAAAACAAGCACUUGGAACACAAAGUUUGACCAGAUGUACAGUAUGUAGUAUGUAUCUAUGCACUGACUCAAUUAAAUGGACUUGUCUACUUUGUCCACCUCUUUUUUCAAUGUUUAUUCAUUGUCUCUUCAUGGUUCACAUAAAAAAUAAAUAACUAAUAUUAAUAGCCA